UGCAGAGGUGGCAAGCGUUGUUCGGAAUUACUGGGCGUAAAGCGCGUGUAGGCGGCUCUUCAAGUCAGGCGUGAAAGCCCCGGGCUCAACUCGGGAACUGCGCUUGAUACUGUCGAGCUAGAGUGUGGAAGGGGCGAUUGGAAUUCCGUGUGUAGCGGUGAAAUGCGUAGAUAUACGGAGGAACACCAGAGGCGAAGGCGGAUCGCUGGGCCAACACUGACGCUGAGACGCGAAAGCUAGGGUAGCAAACGGG
RNAcentral lists this ribosomal RNA (253 nucleotides) under uncultured bacterium. RNAcentral's name for it is "partial 16S ribosomal RNA". It matches the Rfam family "Bacterial small subunit ribosomal RNA", at positions 524 to 776 of the family's 1533-position model. The record is from RNAcentral.